RNAcentral lists this ribosomal RNA (403 nucleotides) under uncultured bacterium. Its description in RNAcentral is "partial 16S ribosomal RNA". It matches the Rfam family "Bacterial small subunit ribosomal RNA", at positions 30 to 526 of the family's 1533-position model. The record is from RNAcentral.
AUUGAACGCUGGCGGCAGGCCUAACACAUGCAAGUCGAGCGAGCGGCGGACGGGUGAGUAAUGUAUGGGGACUGCCCGAUAGAGGGGGAUAACUACUGGAAACGGUGGCUAAUACCGCAUACGGUCGGAUAACCCAUAUGGGAUUAGCUAUUCGGUAAGGUAAGUGCUUACCUAGGCGACGAUCCCUAGCUGGUCUGAGAGGAUGAUCAGCCAAACUGGGACUGGGACACGGCCCAGAUUCCUACGGAGGCAGCAGAGGGGAAUAUUGCACAAGGGGCGCAAGCCUGAUGCAGACAUGCCGCGUGUAUGAAGAAGGCCCUGGGGUUGUAAAGUACUUUCAGUCGGGAGGCGUUACCGACAGAAGAAGCACCGGCUAACUCCGUGCCAGCAGCCGCGGUAAUAC